RNAcentral lists this ribosomal RNA (926 nucleotides) under uncultured soil bacterium. Its description in RNAcentral is "SSU rRNA". It matches the Rfam family "Bacterial small subunit ribosomal RNA", at positions 566 to 1502 of the family's 1533-position model. The record is from RNAcentral.
UGCUCGAUACUGACUCAAAGUUCGUAGUCGGCGUCACGCGCAUUGCAAUCCUGGACUAAGCAGACGAUGCUACGGAACUAGCAUCUAGAGUUACAGAGCAUGACUACGGUGUAGCGCUGCAAUGCGUAGAUAUCGUAGUACAUCGACGCGAAGCUGACUCGCUGGAUCACACUGACGUUGUGGACGAAGCUAGGGAGCAAACAGAUUAGAUACCCUGGUAGUCCUAGCCCUAACCAUCAGGACUUGGGGUUGCCCUGUACGGGGCAAGUGCCGUAGCUAACGCGUUAAGUCCUGCGCCUGGGGAGUACGGUCGCAAGGCUCAAACUCAAAGGAAUUGACGGGGGCCCGCACAAGCGGUGGAACAUGUGGUUCAAUUCGACGCAACGCGAAGACCCUUACCUGGGCUUGAACCGCACAGGACCAGCUUUAGAAAUAGAGCCUUCCCGCAAGGGACCUGUGUAGAGGUGCUGCAUGGCUGUCGUCAGCUCGUGCCGUGAGGUGUUGGGUUAAGUCCCGCAACGAGCGCAACCCUUACUCUUAGUUGCCACCCGCAAGGGGGAUCUCUAGGAGGACUGCUCCGGAUAACGGAGAGGAAGGUGGGGAUGAGGUCAAGUCAGCAUGGCCUUUAUGUCCAGGGCUACACACGUGUUACAAUGCGCGCUACAAAGUGUCGCGAACCCUCGAGGGGGAGCUAAUCGCAAAAAAGCGCGCUCAGUUCGGAUUGCAGUCUGCAACUCGACUGCAUGAAGCUGGAAUCGCUAGUAAUGGCGCAUCAGAUCGGCGCCGUGAAUACGUUCCCGGGCCUUGUACACACCGCCCGUCACAUCACGAAAGUGGGCUGUACUAGAAAUCGCCGAGCCAACCGCACGGAGGCAGGCGCUCAAGGUAUGACUCAUGAUUGGGGUGAAGUCGUAACAAGGUAACCA